RNAcentral lists this ribosomal RNA (253 nucleotides) under uncultured bacterium. Its description in RNAcentral is "partial 16S ribosomal RNA". It matches the Rfam family "Bacterial small subunit ribosomal RNA", at positions 524 to 776 of the family's 1533-position model. The record is from RNAcentral.
GACGUACCACCCGAACGUUAUUCGGAUUCACUGGGCUUACAGAGUCCGUAGGCGGUCAAGAAAGUUAGGCGUGAAAUCCCUCAGCUCAACUGAGGAAUAGCGCUUAAAACUACUUGGUUAGAGAGAGUCAGAGGUGAGCGGAACUGAUGGUGGAGCGGUGAAAUGCGCAGAUAUCAGGAGGAACACCGGUGGCGAAGGCGGGUCUCUGGGCCGAUACCGACGCUGAGGAGCGAAAGCGUGGGGAGCGAACAGG